RNAcentral lists this ribosomal RNA (498 nucleotides) under uncultured bacterium. RNAcentral describes it as "bacterial SSU rRNA". It matches the Rfam family "Bacterial small subunit ribosomal RNA", at positions 39 to 524 of the family's 1533-position model. The record is from RNAcentral.
UUAUGCACUGCGGCGGCUUACCAUGCAAGUCGAGCGGAAACGAUGAUAGCUUGCUAUCAGGCGUCGAGCGGCGGACGGGUGAGUAAUACUUAGGAAUCUACCUAGUAGUGGGGGAUAGCACGGGGAGACUCGUAUUAAUACCGCAUACGACCUACGGGAGAAAGGGGGCAGUUUACUGCUCUCGCUAUUAGAUGAGCCUAAGUCGGAUUAGCUAGAUGGUGGGGUAAAGGCCUACCAUGGCGACGAUCUGUAGCUGGUCUGAGAGGAUGAUCAGCCACACCGGGACUGAGACACGGCCCGGACUCCUACGGGAGGCAGCAGUGGGGAAUAUUGGACAAUGGGGGAAACCCUGAUCCAGCCAUGCCGCGUGUGUGAAGAAGGCCUUUUGGUUGUAAAGCACUUUAAGCAGUGAAGAAGACUCCAUGGUUAAUACCCAUGGACGAUGACAUUAGCUGCAGAAUAAGCACCGGCAGACUCUGUGCCAGCAGCCGCGGUAAU